CACCUCUAGCAUUACUAGUAUUAGAGGCACUGCCUGCCCAGUGACACGAGUUAAACGGCCGCGGUAUUCUGACCGUGCAAAGGUAGCAUAAUCAUUUGUUCUAUAAAUAAGGACUUGUAUGAAUGGCCACACGAGGGUUCUACUGUCUCUUACUUCCAAUCGGUGAAAUUGACCUUCCCGUGAAGAGGCGGGAAUAUAACAAUAAGACGAGAAGACCCUAUGGAGCUUUAAUUAACUAACCCAAUAGAAUUUAUUCAAUUAACCAAUAUGGGACAAAGUAAUUCUACAGUGGGACAGCAAUUUAGGUUGGGGCGACCUCGGAGUAUAGCACAACCCCCGAGUGAUAUAAAUCUAGACAUACCUGUCAAAACGAACUAUCAUAAAUUGAUCCAAAAAUUUUUGAUCAACGGAACAAGUUACCCUAGGGAUAACAGCGCAAUCCUAUUCAAGAGUUCAUAUCGACAAUAGGGUUUACGACCUCGAUGUUGGAUCAGGACAUCCCAAUGGUGCAGCAGCUAUUAAAGGUUCGUUUGUUCAACGAUUAAAGUCCUACGUGAUCUGAGUUCAGACCGGAGUAAUCCAGGUCGGUUUCUAUCUAUUAACCAGUCUCUCCCAGUACGAAAGGACAAGAGAGACAAGGCCCACUUC
Molecule: ribosomal RNA, 648 nt
Filed under: Odobenus rosmarus rosmarus (Atlantic walrus)
Lineage: Eukaryota; Metazoa; Chordata; Mammalia; Carnivora; Odobenidae
Description: partial 16S ribosomal RNA
Rfam family: Bacterial large subunit ribosomal RNA
Source: RNAcentral